RNAcentral lists this ribosomal RNA (444 nucleotides) under uncultured bacterium. Its description in RNAcentral is "SSU rRNA". It matches the Rfam family "Bacterial small subunit ribosomal RNA", at positions 26 to 518 of the family's 1533-position model. The record is from RNAcentral.
AGAACGAACGCUGGCGGCAGGCCUAAUACAUGCAAGUCGAACGCACUCUUCGGAGUGAGUGGCAGACGGGUGAGUAACGCGUGGGAACCUUCCCAAUGGUACGGAAUAACUCCGGGAAACCGGCGCUAAUACCGUAUAAGCCCCUCGGGGGAAAGAUUUAUCGCCAUUGGAUGGGCCCGCGUCGGAUUAGCUAGUUGGUAAGGUAAUGGCUUACCAAGGCUACGAUCCGUAGCUGGUCUGAGAGGAUGAUCAGCCACACUGGGACUGAGACACGGCCCAGACUCCUACGGGAGGCAGCAGUAGGGAAUCUUGGACAAUGGGCGAAAGCCUGAUCCAGCCAUGCCGCGUGAGUGAAGAAGGCCUUAGGGUUGUAAAGCUCUUUUGGCGGGGACGAUAAUGACGGUACCGCAGAAUAAGCCCGGCUAACUUCGUGCCAGCAGCCGC